UACGUAGGGUGCAAGCGUUGUCCGGAAUUAUUGGGCGUAAAGGGCUCGUAGGCGGUCCAUCGCGUCGGGUGUGAAAAGCUGGGGCUUAACCCCAGUCCUGCUUCCGAUACGGGUGGACUAGAGGUAGGUAGGGGAGAACGGAAUUCCUGGUGUAGCGGUGAAAUGCGCAGAUAUCAGGAGGAACACCGGUGGCGAAGGCGGGUCUCUGGGCCGUAACUGACGCUGAGGAGCGAAAGCGUGGGGAGCGAACAGG
Molecule: ribosomal RNA, 253 nt
Filed under: uncultured bacterium
Lineage: Bacteria
Description: partial 16S ribosomal RNA
Rfam family: Bacterial small subunit ribosomal RNA
Source: RNAcentral